RNAcentral lists this ribosomal RNA (326 nucleotides) under Thaumatomonas sp. Its description in RNAcentral is "SSU rRNA". The stretch from base 85 to 326 matches the Rfam family "Eukaryotic small subunit ribosomal RNA", at positions 712 to 955 of the family's 1831-position model. Lineage: Eukaryota; Cercozoa; Imbricatea; Thaumatomonadida; Thaumatomastigidae. The record is from RNAcentral.
GAUUUCUGGUUUAAUGCGUUUGGCCCUCCCGGGGACCACCUCGGUGAGCGUGCCGAUGCGCGUUUGCCAUCCUUGUAGAGAACGUUUCUACCCUUCACUGGGCCGGAUUCGCAAUCUACAUCUUUUACUUUGAAAAAAUUAGAGUGUUUAAAGCAGGCUUGUGCUAUGAAUACAUUAGCAUGGAAUAAUAAUUUAGGACUUUAGUUCUAUUUUGUUGGUUUCUAGGACUGAAGUAAUGAUUGAUAGGGAUAGUUGGGGGUGCUAGUAUUCAGCGGCCAGAGGUGAAAUUCUUGGAUUCGCUGAAGACUAACUUAUGCGAAAGCAUU